This 253-nucleotide ribosomal RNA is filed under the name uncultured bacterium. Its description in RNAcentral is "partial 16S ribosomal RNA". It matches the Rfam family "Bacterial small subunit ribosomal RNA", at positions 524 to 776 of the family's 1533-position model. The record is from RNAcentral.
UACGGGGGGGGCAAGCGUUGUUCGGAAUUACUGGGCGUAAAGGGCUCGUAGGCGGCCAACUAAGUCCGACGUGAAAUCCCCAGGCUUAACCUGGGAACUGCAUUCGAGACUGCAUUGCUAGAGUAUGGGAGAGGGAAGUGGAAUUUCCGGUGUAGCGGUGAAAUGCGUAGAUAUCGGAAGGAACAUCAGUGGCGAAAGCGACUUCCUGGACCAAUACUGACGCUCAUGUGCGAAAGCGUGGGGAGCAAACAGG